RNAcentral lists this ribosomal RNA (409 nucleotides) under uncultured bacterium. Its description in RNAcentral is "bacterial SSU rRNA". It matches the Rfam family "Bacterial small subunit ribosomal RNA", at positions 509 to 916 of the family's 1533-position model. The record is from RNAcentral.
CAGCAGCCGCGGUAAUACGGGGGGUGCAAGCGUUGUUCGGAAUUAUUGGGCGUAAAGAGCGUGUAGGCGGUUUGUUAAGUCUGUUGUGAAAGCCCUGGGCUCAACCCAGGAAGUGCACUGGAUACUGGCAGACUUGAAUACGGGAGAGGGUAGUGGAAUUCCUAGUGUAGGAGUGAAAUCCGUAGAUAUUAGGAGGAACACCGGUGGCGAAGGCGGCUACCUGGACCGAUAUUGACGCUGAGACGCGAAAGCGUGGGUAGCAAACAGGAUUAGAUACCCUGGUAGUCCACGCCGUAAACGAUGAGAACUAGGUGUUGCGGGUAUUGACCCCUGCAGUGCCGCAGCUAACGCAUUAAGUUCUCCGCCUGGGAAGUACGGUCGCAAGACUAAAACUCAAAGGAAUUGACGG